RNAcentral lists this ribosomal RNA (500 nucleotides) under uncultured bacterium. Its description in RNAcentral is "partial 16S ribosomal RNA". It matches the Rfam family "Bacterial small subunit ribosomal RNA", at positions 30 to 523 of the family's 1533-position model. The record is from RNAcentral.
AUUGAACGCUGGCGGCAUGCCUUACACAUGCAAGUCGAACGGCAGCACGGGAGCAAUCCUGGUGGCGAGUGGCGAACGGGUGAGUAAAGUAUCGGAACGUGCCCAGUCGUGGGGGAUAACGUAGCGAAAGUUACGCUAAUACCGCAUACGAUCUAUGGAUGAAAGCGGGGGAUCGCAAGACCUCGCGCGAUUGGAGCGGCCGAUAUCAGAUUAGGUAGUUGGUGGGGUAAAGGCUCACCAAGCCGACCAUCUGUAGCUGGUCUGAGAGGACGACCAGCCACACUGGGACUGAGACACGGCCUAGACUCCUACGGGAGGCAGCAGUGGGGAAUUUUGGACAAUGGGCGCAAGCCUGAUCCAGCCAUGCCGCGUGCAGGAUGAAGGCCUUCGGGUUGUAAACUGCUUUUGUACGGAACGAAAAGGUUUGACUUAAUACGUUGGACUCAUGACGGUACCGUAAGAAUAAGCACCGGCUAACUACGUGCCAGCCGCCGCGGUAA